UACGUAGGGGGCAAGCGUUGUCCGGAUUUAUUGGGCGGAAAGAGCGUGUAGGCGGUUUGGUAGGUCCGCUGUGAAAACUCGAGGCUCAACCUCGAGACGCCGGUGGAAACCAUCAGGCUAGAGUCCGGAAGAGGAGAGUGGAAUUCCUGGUGUAGCGGUGAAAUGCGCAGAUAUCAGGAAGAACACCCGUGGCUAAGGCGGCUCUCUAGUACGGUACUGACGCUGAGACGCGAAAGCGUGGGGAGCGAACAGG
RNAcentral lists this ribosomal RNA (253 nucleotides) under uncultured bacterium. RNAcentral describes it as "partial 16S ribosomal RNA". It matches the Rfam family "Bacterial small subunit ribosomal RNA", at positions 524 to 776 of the family's 1533-position model. The record is from RNAcentral.